This is a long non-coding RNA of Gigantopelta aegis, 678 nucleotides long. RefSeq lists it as uncharacterized. The record is from RefSeq and is a predicted model, not a curated record. Lineage: Eukaryota; Metazoa; Mollusca; Gastropoda; Neomphalida; Peltospiridae. The transcript has 4 exons.
GUAAAUGCUAAAUUAGGUAGAGUAUCAUUAAAUAGGGCUGUACCAUAAAAUAGCUUGUCCACAUUGAAGGCAGAUGAUCUUUAAAUGUCUACAUUGUCAAAUGGAAAAGAUGCCAUAAGCUAGCAACUUUGUCUCUGCUGACUACAUGCACAGGUCAUUCUGGAGUCUGAAGAUGACAAACAUUCCAAGGCUGGUGCAGCAGUAACAGCAGUUUCUAGCUUCAGCCAUCAUGGAAAGACUUUCCUUGAAGUACAUCCUAGACGGAAUUGUGAUUGCCAUAACAGCACAGAGUACCAAACAUUCUUCUUACAAUGCUGGGUUGAAAUGUAACUUUUGUGGAAAGAUAUAUGGAUAACUUCACAACAGAAUGAGGCUACACAUACUUGCAUCAUCUGAUAAAAUCUGAUUGGAAGUGACUGUUCCAAAUGUUACACCGAUACUGAAGACAUGAUCAGCAAGAAGUAGUGAUGGCCAAAGUUUUGACCACAGAACAUUUUGUUACGUUUUCUUUGUAAUCUUUGAAGGCAAUUGUUUAUUACUACACAAUCUAAUGUCCUGGGCCCAAUUUCACUAAACAUCGUAAGCCUACUUUUGCACGUAAACGUAAAUCUACGACUAAACCACAAUUCUUAUUACUAUUAUAGCUCAACAAAUAUUGUUAGAAAUAUGCAUAUUUCA